This 65-nucleotide transfer RNA is filed under the name Sipunculus nudus (marine worm). Its description in RNAcentral is "tRNA-His". The record is from RNAcentral. Lineage: Eukaryota; Metazoa; Annelida; Sipuncula; Golfingiida; Sipunculidae.
GCUAAAAUAGUUUAAAAAAAACCUUGAAUUGUGGUUUCAAUAAUGCAGAUUUGAUGCUUUUAGCC